UACGUAGGGUGCGAGCGUUAAUCGGAAUUACUGGGCGUAAAGCGUGCGCAGGCGGUUUUGUAAGCCAGAUGUGAAAUCCCCGGGCUUAACCUGGGAAUGGCACUUGGGACUGCAAGGCUUGAGUGCGGCAGAGGAGACUGGAAUUCCUGGUGUAGCAGUGAAAUGCGUAGAUAUCAGGAGGAACACCGAUGGCGAAGGCAGGUCUCUGGGCUGACACUGACGCUCAUGCACGAAAGCGUGGGGAGCAAACAGG
This 253-nucleotide ribosomal RNA is filed under the name uncultured bacterium. RNAcentral's name for it is "partial 16S ribosomal RNA". It matches the Rfam family "Bacterial small subunit ribosomal RNA", at positions 524 to 776 of the family's 1533-position model. The record is from RNAcentral.